AGAGACAUUAAUAUGGGGGGGGGGGGUUCCAGAGACAUUAAUAUGAGGGGGGGUUCCAGAGACAUUAUUAUGAGGGGGGUUCCAGAGACAUUAAUAUGGGGGGGUUCCAUAGAAAUUAAUAUGGGGGGGUUUCAGAGACAUUAAUAUGAGGGGGGGGUUCCAGAGACAUUAAUAUGAGGAGGGGGGUUCCAGAGACAUUAAUAUGAGGAGGGGGGUUUCCAGAGACAUUAAUAUGAGGGGGGGGGUUCCAGAGACAUUAAUAUGAGGAGGGGGGGUUCUAGAGACAUUAAUAUGAGGAGGGGGGGGUUCUAGAGACAUUAAUAUGAGGAGGGGGGUUCCAGAGACAUUAAUAUGAGGAGGGGGGGUUCCAGAGACAUUAAUAUGAGGAGGGGGGGUUCUAGAGACAUUAAUAUGAGGAGGGGGGGUUCUAGAGACAUUAUUAUGAGGAGGAGGGGUUCCAGAGACAUUAAUAUGAAGAGGGGGGGAUCCAGAGACAUUAAUAUGAGGAGGGGGGUUCUAGAGACAUUAAUAUGAGGAGGGGGGGGUUCUAGACACAUUAAUAUGAGGAGGGGGGGUUCUAGAGACAUUAUUAUGAGGGGGGGUUACAGAGACAUUAUUAUGAGGAGGGGGGGGUUCUAGAGACAUUAUUAUGAGGAGGGAAGGAGGGGUUCAAGAGACAUUAUUAUGAGGAGGGGGGGGUUCCAGAGACAUUAAUAUGAGGAGGGGGGGUUCUAGAGACAUUAAUAUGAGGAGGGGGGUUCCAGAGACAUUAAUAUGAGGAGGGGGGGUUCCAGAGACAUUAAUAUGAGGAGGGGGGGUUCUAGAGACAUUAAUAUGAGGAGGGGGGGUUCUAGAGACAUUAUUAUGAGGAGGAGUGGUUCCAGAGACAUUAAUAUGAAGAGGGGGGAUCCAGAGACAUUAAUAUGAGGAGGGGGGGUUCUAGAGACAUUAAUAUGAGGAGGGGGGGGUUCUAGAGACAUUAAUAUGAGGAGGGGGGGUUCUAGAGACAUUAUUAUGAGGGGGGGGUUACAGAGACAUUAUUAUGAGGAGGGGGGGUUCCAGAGACAUUAUUAUGAGGAGGGGGGAUCCAGAGACAUUAUUAUGAGGAGGGAAGGGGGGGGUUCCAGAGACAUUAUUAUGAGGAGGGAGGGGGGGGUUCCAGAGACAUUAAUAUGAGGAGGGGAAGGGGGGGUUCCAGAGACAUUAUUAUGAGGAGGAAGGGGGGGGGUUCCAGAGACAUUAUUAAUGAGGGGGGGUUCCAGAGACAUUAAUAUGGGGGGGGGGUUCCAGAGACAUUAAUAUGAGGGGGGUUCCAGAGACAUUAAUAUGAGGGGGGAUCCAGAGAAAUUAAUAUGAGGAGGGGGGGUUCCAGAGACAUUAAUAUGAGGAGGGGGGGUUCCAGAGACAUUAAUAUGGGGGGGGGGGUUCCAGAGACAUUAAUAUGAGGAGGGGGGGUUCUAGAGACAUUAAUAUGAGGAGGGGGGGUUCCAGAGACAUUAAAGGAGGAGGGGGGGGGUUCCAGAGACAUUAAUAUGAGGAGGGGGGGGUUCUAGAGACAUUAAUAUGACGAGGGGGGGUUCUAGAGACUUUAUUAUGAGGAGGGGGGGUUCCAGAGACAUUAAUAUGAAGGGGGGGAUCCAGAGACAAUAUGAGGAGGGGGGGUUCCAGAGACAUUAAUAUGAGGAG
Molecule: long non-coding RNA, 1686 nt
Filed under: Salmo trutta (river trout)
Lineage: Eukaryota; Metazoa; Chordata; Actinopteri; Salmoniformes; Salmonidae
Description: lncRNA (ENSSTUG00000024012.1)
Source: RNAcentral